RNAcentral lists this ribosomal RNA (253 nucleotides) under uncultured bacterium. Its description in RNAcentral is "partial 16S ribosomal RNA". It matches the Rfam family "Bacterial small subunit ribosomal RNA", at positions 524 to 776 of the family's 1533-position model. The record is from RNAcentral.
UACGGCGGGUGCAAGCGUUAUCCGGAAUUAUUGGGCGUAAAGAGCUUGUAGGCGGUCUGUCGCGUCUGCUGUGAAAAUCCGGGGCUCAACCCCGGACUUGCAGUGGGUACGGGCAGACUAGAGUGUGGUAGGGGAGACUGGAAUUCCUGGUGUAGCGGUGAAAUGCGCAGAUAUCAGGAGGAACACCGGUGGCGAAGGCGGGUCUCUGGGCCGAUACUGACGCUGAGGAGCGAAAGCGUGGGGAGCGAACAGG